Molecule: non-coding RNA, 73 nt
Organism: Podarcis lilfordi (Lilford's wall lizard)
Lineage: Eukaryota; Metazoa; Chordata; Lepidosauria; Squamata; Lacertidae
Source: the annotation of a GenBank genome assembly
GCCUAGCUUAGCUUAGUCAGUAGCGCAGAGACUCUUAAUCUCAGGGCCAUGGGUUCAAGCCCCAUGCUGGGCA